Molecule: unclassified non-coding RNA, 167 nt
Filed under: uncultured fungus
Lineage: Eukaryota; Fungi
Description: sequence contains ITS1, 5.8S rRNA gene
Source: RNAcentral
ACACGAUGUUUAUUAUCGUUUUAUCUACAAUAAUACCCUUAAUAACAUUUAGGAUGGGCUUUUGAGUUAUGUUAUUUUUUUUUUAGAUCUUUUUUUUAAGACCCAAAAAAACAAAACAAAACACUUUACUAUUAAACAAUAACAAUACCAAAAUAAACAAACUAAAA